UCAUUAAUUUCUGUGUGGUUAGUUCACAGAUGCAGGCAGAAGGAAUCUCCCUAAAACUUCAUCUGAAGGACUGCACCUGCCACAGUGUUGCAAAGUACUGCAGUGCAGUAUAAACGGUGUGUCUUCCUCAGAUGGAGAUAGCUUUGUGCUGCAUUGCAGUGGUUCACUGCAGAAGUGCCAGCAUGCACAGUGAUUACAUCACCUUGUGAUUCACUAGCUAAUUUGGCGUUCAUUAAGUGUACACCAGUGACUGAUGCUGACAAAACAAUGUCCUCCCAACUGCUUAAUUCUCAACAUGUGUGUGGCAAAGAAACUGUCAGAUCAGUGAG
RNAcentral lists this long non-coding RNA (329 nucleotides) under Gopherus agassizii (Agassiz's desert tortoise). Its description in RNAcentral is "lncRNA (ENSGAGG00000014272.1)". Lineage: Eukaryota; Metazoa; Chordata; Testudines; Testudinidae. The record is from RNAcentral.